RNAcentral lists this ribosomal RNA (205 nucleotides) under uncultured bacterium. RNAcentral describes it as "partial 16S ribosomal RNA". It matches the Rfam family "Bacterial small subunit ribosomal RNA", at positions 568 to 774 of the family's 1533-position model. The record is from RNAcentral.
CACGUAGGCGGCUAGGUCCGUCCGAUGUGAAAGCCCCCGGCUCAACCGGGGAAUUGCAUCGGAUACAGCCUGGCUCGAGGACGGUUGGGUGAGUGGAACUCCUGGUGGAGCGGUGAAAUGCGUAGAUAUCAGGAGGAACACCGGUGGCGAAAGCGGCUCACUGGACCGUUUCUGACGCUGAGGUGCGAAAGCUAGGGAGCAAACG